This is a non-coding RNA of Picea glauca (white spruce), 46 nucleotides long. Lineage: Eukaryota; Viridiplantae; Streptophyta; Pinopsida; Pinales; Pinaceae. The record is from Rfam.
GAAAUGGUGUCUUUAGACACCACCACUAUUAUUGGAAUCUCAUUUU